AAAGCGAGGAAAAGAAACCAACAGGGAUUGCCCCAGUAAUGGCGAAUGAAGCGGCAAGAGCCCAAAUUUGAAAUCGGGCAACCGAGUUGUAAUUUGGAGACGGGACACUAGAGAGGAGGAAGGCGAUUAAGUGCCUUGGAACAGGCUGCCGUAGAGGGUGAGAGCCCCGUGAAUCGCUGGAGACCGAUCAAUUAGUGCCCGCCGAAGAGUCGAGUUGUUUGGGAAUGCAGCUCUAAGUGGGUGGUAUAUUCCAUCUAAGGCUAAAUAUUAGCGAGAGACCGAUAGCAAACAAGUACAGUGAUGGAAAGAUGAAAAGAACUUUGGAAAGAGAGUGAAAUAGUACGUGAAAUUGUUGAAAGGGAAGGGUAUUUGAUCCGACAUGGUGUUUAGCAGCGGCCCGUUCCUCGUGGAUGGGUGCACCUGGUUUACACUGGGCCAGCAUCGGUUCUGGGAGCCAUAUACGGGGUUCGUGAAUGUGGCCCUUCGAUUCUGUCGGAGGGUGUUAUAGCGCGGACAUCUUGUGGCUAGCCGGGACCGGGGACUGCGGUGACUUGUCACCAAGGAUGCUGGCAGAACGAGCAAAUACCACCCGUC
This 594-nucleotide ribosomal RNA is filed under the name Brettanomyces bruxellensis. RNAcentral describes it as "partial large subunit ribosomal RNA". It matches the Rfam family "Eukaryotic large subunit ribosomal RNA", at positions 48 to 653 of the family's 3401-position model. The record is from RNAcentral. Lineage: Eukaryota; Fungi; Ascomycota; Pichiomycetes; Pichiales; Pichiaceae.